UACAGAGGUCCCAAGCGUUGUUCGGAUUCACUGGGCGUAAAGGGUGCGUAGGUGGUUAGGUAAGUCCGAUGUGAAAUCUCCAGGCUCAACCUGGAAAUGGCAUUGGAUACUAUCUAGCUUGAGGAGUGGAGGGGGGACUGGAAUUCUCGGUGUAGCAGUGAAAUGCGUAGAUAUCGAGAGGAACACCAGUGGCGAAGGCGAGUCCCUAGACACUUCCUGACACUGAGGCACGAAAGCUAGGGGAGCAAACAGG
Molecule: ribosomal RNA, 253 nt
Filed under: uncultured bacterium
Lineage: Bacteria
Description: partial 16S ribosomal RNA
Rfam family: Bacterial small subunit ribosomal RNA
Source: RNAcentral